Schistocerca nitens (vagrant locust) is the source of this 969-nucleotide long non-coding RNA. RefSeq lists it as uncharacterized. The record is from RefSeq and is a predicted model, not a curated record. Lineage: Eukaryota; Metazoa; Arthropoda; Insecta; Orthoptera; Acrididae. The transcript is spliced from 4 exons.
AGAUACAAAGAACUCAUUACGCGUUUUAUUGAUUGCUGUUCGUUCGAUAUGUGCUCAAUGAUGUAAUGCUCUUCUGCUUUUUUUUUGUCACUAUGUUGGACAACCUGACGGACGUCAGAACCUCGAAGAAGAUAAAACAACUCUACGUAUUGUUGGCUUGGACAACACUGAAGAGUCACAAGGGGUUUGGUGUUGAAGAAUUGUUUCCUUGGAGGGAAGUAAUUAGCGUGGAGGAACAUCCCUAAGAAGUGAUCUGUGUGGCUAAGCUAUGGAAUGGUAUAACAAAACUCUUCGAGUUUCUGGACAACUGUAAAAAUGAACCAGUGAUGUGGAAUUCAUGUUCACCACAUCAUUAGAACUGAGAUACUGUUUGUGAUACCUGGAAAACAAUUGAAAUCAACAGUAACAUGAAGUUUUCGGUUCAAGAACUGAAAAGAUAAGACCCUUUCAUGGUGUCCUUUAGAAAAGGCUCAUCUGAAAAGUGGAAAUAGGAUGAAUGAUUUUUACAUGCCAACAUGGUUUGUAUUUAAAACAAUGCCAGGAUUCCUGUUGGAUGAAUAUGGUCCAUGACACAAUAAAAAACAGAGGUCAAGAAAUUUGAAGACAGCACUUAUAAUGAUGACGAGAGUGCAUUUGGUGUCAUACCACAGGCUGGAGGACUUGAACAGACUGAUGCUGAAAAUGAAGCAUUUGGGUUACCCUCGGGCAGUUCAGAUUCCUUAAAAAGGAAACUUAAUGAGACAGAGGACUGCAAAUUGAAAAUAUAUCAGGCAUUUUCUUUACUUACAAGUAGUGGCAGAAAGACCCUAAAAGGAAAAGGAGAUACACGUAAAUUUUUUGGGAAUUUUGCGGGAGCUAAACUUCAGGUGAAGGGUGAGGACUUUUUUUUUUUUUUUUAAAGGGGAGUUGCUGUCUAGUGUAUAAAUUACAUUUUUUUUCCCUUUUUUUAUGCGAAGAGGAUGGUGUCUG